AAAAUGGCGUCUUUUACGGGCUAGCGCUUAUCCGCCGCAUACUGAAUACCGUUUUCAAUAAUCGUGGGUGUAACUAUUUAUUAGUGAUUAUAACAAUUUGUGAACGACUAUUCAGUGUUUAAGUGCAUUUUUUUCCAUAACGGACUCACUGGAUAUUGUUUCAAUACAUCUAAACGAGCUCCCUCAAAGAGAUGCGCAGAGACACAGUGGAGAUAUAACACGAUGUGCGAGGUCGGAUGAGGCGCGAGCGCGCGCUCACGCGACGCGCAAACUAACAAUAUGUCGUUCUUCAAUAAUCUUAAGAAGGUGCUGCACCUGGGCAGCGGCAACGAUGCUAAGAAAAAGAAAGUGUUCAACAACAUUAGGGACAACAGCGAUCCCUCUGAGAACUGGGACAUGGUUGGCGAGCUCGGCGAUGGCGCGUUUGGGAAGGUAUACAAAGCCCAACACAAGACGACGGGCCAGCUCGCCGCCGCCAAAAUGUGCGUUCUCGACAACGAGGACGACCUCGCCGACUUUACCGUCGAGAUCGACAUACUGUCGGAGUGUCGGCACCCCAACGUCGUCGAGCUACACGAGGCGUACUUCAUCGACAACAAGCUGUGGAUGCUCCUAGAAUACUGCGACGGUGGCGCCCUCGACUCUGUGAUGGCUGAACUAGAAAAAGGCCUCAACGAAAUACAAAUAGCCUACGUCUGCAGAGAAAUGUGCAGAGGUCUGCAGUUUCUGCACUCGAGAAGAGUUAUACACAGGGACCUGAAGGCCGGCAAUGUGUUGGCUACCAUGACAGGAGGGGUUAAGCUGGCGGAUUUCGGCGUAUCAGCGAAGAACAAGUCGACUCUACAGAAGCACGACACGUUCAUCGGGACGCCGUACUGGAUGGCGCCCGAGGUCGUGCUCUGCGAGACCUUCAGAGAUCAUCCUUAUGAUUUUAAGGUGGACAUCUGGUCACUAGGUAUAACUCUAAUAGAGUUUGCGCAAAUGGAGCCUCCCAACCACGAGAUGACGCCCAUGCGAGUGCUGCUCAAGAUACAGAAGAGUGAACCGCCCACCCUCGACCAGCCAUCCAAGUGGAGCAAGUCCUUCAACGACUUCAUAUCUAAGGCUCUCGUUAAGGACCCAGAAAAAAGGCCGACGGCGGUAGAGCUGAUGAAGCACGAGUUCGUAAACGGGAAGUUAGACGCCAAACCUCUGCGAGAGCUGCUGCUGGAGUACAGAGCUGAAGUGGUGGAGGAGGAGCUGCUGGACGACGACUCCGAGGAGCCGCGCAGCUCUCAUAUCCCCAUGGAGGAAGAUGACUCCACCUCCGUACGCUCCGCCGACACGCCAGAUGUCAAGAUGUCGGAGGAGCACCCCGGCGCCGCCGCAACGCCCCGCGCCGCCACGCCGCCGCCGAGCACGCCGCCUGCCUCCACUCCGCCUGCCGCCACGCCGCCUGCCGCCACUCCGCCGGCCGCCACGCCGCCGGCCGCCGCCGCCGCCAAGCGCCCGCACGAAGACGAGCACCCGCCUGCCGAUAGGAAGCCGCCUGCACCAAAAAAAGAGAAAGGCCCAGCACCUCCACCCCCAUCAGCCACAGCACCACCCGCCGCUCCCGCCGUCACCCCCGCUCCCACCCCCGCUCGAAAGCAACCCGCCCCACCUCCUCCCGCCGCGCCAACCACACCCGUCACACCCGUAGCCGUCACACCCGUUACACCCGUCAGCGUGGUCACCCCGGUCAGUGCAGUGACUCCGGUCAGUACGGCGACUCCGGUCAGUAUAGUGACCCCCGUGAGUCCGGCGCCGCCGGAGGAAGCCACGGACACGGCAGCGCUGCCUGCUGCUGCCGCCGGCAGGCUUAUUGUGGACCAGGUAUGCAGAGACGCAGAAAAGGCAGUCGAAAACAAGACCACAGACAAAAAACAAGAAGUCGAAGACAAACCAAAGCAAGAAAAACAGACAGACAUUAAAACAAAUAUUAUUACAACUAAAACGGACAAAGAAAAAUUACCUAAAACCAAUUCUAUUGAAGAAAAAACAUCUAAAAGUCGACCCAACUCUUUACACGAGGUAAAUAAGAGGGAUAUUCAAGACAGGGAUAUAAAAAGAGAUCCCUUACAAGAUAGGGACCUUAAUAGAGAUAUAAAACAAGAAAAGGAUGUAAGAGAAAGAGAUGUAAAAAGAGAUUCUUUACACGAAAGGGAUAUCAAAAGAGAUUCCUUGGAGAAGACAGGGAUAGAAGUGAAUAGAGUUAGUGCAGAAGUUAGUCGGUUGGAGAAGAAUUAUUCUCGGUCCAGUUCUGUUGAUGAAGAGAGAGUCGAUAAGAGUAGAGAGAGAGAGAGGAGAACGCAACAUAAUGCUGUUGAAAUUAGGCCUGUUACGCCACCACAACCCAAAGAGCCGGACCCGCCUCUAUCACCAGCCCCGGCCCCCAUCGCCCCCAGCACAGUGGUGGUACACUCGGGAGUGGUGCUGGACGGCGCCGUGGUGGUGGUGGAACCGAACAGCCUGGCCGCCACGCCGGCGGGGCUGGUCACUGUCACCACCACCCAUCCGCCCGUGCUUAGUACUGCGGCUACUCUCCCGCCGAACGCAGUGACAAUAUCGACGACACCCCCCAUAGCCGACGAAGUGGUGAUCGUCGGAGCUGGCUCAUCAUCAGACGACGACUGCUUCGCGCCGUCAUCACUCGACAGCUUGGACUGCACACAUUAUAGUGAAAAAGCGAGAGGCCGUCGUUUAGAUAGCAGCGAGGUGUUGAUUCUAAGUCCAACGGCCGCCGCCACUGAUUCCGGAGUCUUCGAUGACAGUGUUACUAAUGGACUUAAUUUGGACACAUCGCACGUAUCAGUGGUGACAGUCGGUAACGAAGAGGUGCGGGUUCGAGACUCGGCUGCGACACACAUCGCCCUCGGUUCCGUCAGCACUAGGCUCAGUCCUGAUAGUUUUGAGAGCAUUCCCAGCAGGUCGCAGUCGGACAGCGGGUCGGUGGCGUCGCUGUCGUCGCGGGCGGCCGCCGACGCCGACUCGCUGGCGCCCGACACUCACGACUCGCAGCUCAAUGGCGGCACCAGAGUAAACACGGAUAGUCAGAAUUUGGAUAAUGGAGAGCCUGUAGUACUGAGAAGAAAGCAGCAAGACGGACAGCCUGUUAAUAGGAUACAGAGAUCUAAGGAGGAUAUCCACAUGGCCAACUUGAAGAAGAAGACCCGCAAGCGCACCAGGAAGUUUGAGAUCGAUGGCGUUAUAGUCACCACCACUACUUCCAAGGUGAUAUGGGGCGACGAAGAAAGCGGCCGCACGUGGGACGACCACGCGCUCCGCAAACAAGAGCUGCGCGAGAUCAAGAUGCUGCAGAAACAGGAGCAGAAGCAGUUCCAGGACCUCAACGCUAAGGAGAGCCAGCUCAGAGAGCAGCAGGAUAAGAGGUUCGAAGCCGAACUAGUGUCCCUAGGCCGAGCCCACGAGGCCGACCUCGAAGCCCUAGCGCGGGCCCAGCGGGCCUCCGCCGAGAGGGCCGAACAACAACUGGAGGCCGAACUCCGACACGCCGCCAAGCGCCUCCGCGCCGACCACGAGCGGGACCUGCGCCACUUCAGAGACACGCUCAAACAGGAGCUUAGGUUGCUCAAACAGGAAGUGGAACUAGUAGCGAAAGAGCGUCGCAAGGACGCGUACCGAGUGCGACGAGCUCGCCUGGACGCCGAACACGGCGAGCGCGAGCGAGCAUUCGUGGCCGCGCUCGCCGACGCCGGCGACGCCGUGCUGCGACGCAUACACGACGCGCAUAGAGAUAGGCAGGCGUUAGCUGAUACCCAGUACCUGCAACAGAGGCAUCAGAUAAUGCGAACCCGCGAAGCAGCCCUCUGGGAACUAGAAGAGAAGCAGAUUCACGAGCGUCACCAGCUCGCCAAGCGGCAGCUGAAGGACGAGUUCCUGCUGCGGCGCCAUCAGAUGCUGGUCAGGCAUGACAAGGAGCUGGAGCAGAUCAAACGGAAAAACACCCGCAAAGAGGAAGAGCUAGCGAAAGUCCAGGCUCUAGAAAAGCGAUCUCUGCCAAAACGCAUCCGCGCCGAACAGAAGGCCAGAGAGAUGAUGUUCCGAGAGUCUCUACGCAUCAGCGCUGUUAAUGCGCCGAGUCAUGAAGAUGAGCGGGAGAGGUUGAAGAAGUUCCAAGAGAACGAGAAGCGUCGUUACCGCGCAGAGCAGCAGCGCCUCGCGACGAAGCAUGCCAAAGCCAGGGAGGAGCUCAAGGCCGCUGGAGAGGCGUUACUCCGAGAAUUGGAACAAUACCAGAACGAGAAACGCAAAGCCCUCAUGAACCACGAGAGCAACAAGAUGAAGGCAGUCGAGGAGCGAUACUCCCAGGAGCUCAAGGAGUGGAGAGCUACCCUCGGGGAUAGGAAGCUGGCACUAGAAGAAGAAUUCACAGUCCAGCUAGAGGAACAAGAAAGGCAAUCAGCUAGCAGCCGAAUGCCCCCUCCACCUUCAACCAUGCCACAACACAGUUCUACCCUCCAUUCAUCACGGACCAGUCUAGCUUCCAGCCAUUACGACUAGACUUCGCACACACAUAUAGUCUCCGUGACCUUCCACGGAGGUUCAAUAACGUACUUUAAAAACAUCGUACGCUUAAAGAGGACCAAAAAACACUGCCGGAGCUGUGUGUGUGUAAAAAAGACAAACUCACCCAAAUAGUUCGUUUUUUCGCCGCUAGAUGGCGUUGUGUUCAGUAACGUUAGUUGCAUAGGUCGGCGAGAGAUGGCGCUGUUUUCAAUGUUAGACUGAUGUUUUAUUAUGGAUGUAAAGAAUUGAGGUUUUUCUGCGAUUCAGGGAAUCGAUGGAAUAUUAACGAAAUGUGUUUUUAAUAAAUGUACCCGAAUUUUGUCAGCACUUUUCUGUCUAACUUGGGUCAUGUCUUGAAUAAGCUUUCUUCGGUCUCUGCUUUUUGUGAAGAGGCGAACAUAAAAAUUUCGAAUUGAAAGUAACUAAAAUAAACCCCAGUAUUUAUCUACUUAAUUAGGAUUAUGAAAUGGGGCCUAAAACGCACAAAAAUAAGGCUAAUUAAUUGCUUAGUUAAUUUUAACCUUUUCAACGCUAAAAAAUGGCGUCGCUGGCGGGAACUAUCGAAUGUAAAUAAAAUUUAAAAUAAUACAACGUUUUUGAAGAAAUUUUUAGAACUAAUAUUAGGUAGAAUGGACAUUUUAAAAUUUUUAAUGGCGGUUACGCUAAGAGUGCAAGUAUUUUACACGUUUAUUAUGUCUGUAGUGAAAUUGCGUUUUUAAAUUAUUGGAUGGUAUCAACUGUCUUAUAUGAAUUGGAAUAUAAAGGAUGCUUAUAAAAACUUAUCCACGUUUAAUUAAAUCUAGCGAGAAAGUGCUUAUUCUAUUACCGAAAAUAUUCAAUUAUUUUGAAGAAAAUAAUGUUCUGUUUCCGCUCGCAUUAAAGGCUGUUCGCAAUAUUCUACGUAUAUUUUGUUGUAUUUACUAGAGGUAGGAAUUUCAUAAUAGCCCCAAAUAAGCAUUGUUCGGGGCUAAACAAAACAACAGGGGUCCGAUUCUGCUAAGUUAGUAAUGUCAAAAUUGAAUCGCAAUAGCAGUUUUAUCCUUAGCGGACAUUCUGCUACUUAUAUAAGACCAAUCUUAUUCCAAUGACAUUCGAUUGGUUUGCGACUUGUCUCCCAUUUGGUCUAUACGGUAGUUUGCUCUACAAUCAUAUUGCAAUCGUAAAUCAUUUGCAGACAAUAUGAUUCAAAAUUGAAUCACAGAAACGGAUAAAAACGUUUAUUUAAAAGAAAAAAAUAGCGGAAUGCCACAUACGCUGCAAUCGUAAUUGAGUCGUGAUUGGAUCUCAGUCGGAUGUGAAUCGUUUUUCGCUUAAGUAAAAUUAGUAGAAUCGCUCCCCAGGUAGACGGAAUGUUGUAAUCGGCCAUAAAAGAAUUCGUGUUCUAAUUCGCAUUGCAAAGAUUUUCGACAAAAGUUAUCGUAAAAAAAAGUAAAAGUUAUAAGUGCUGUCUUUAUCAUGGUCACCAUUUACCUGGCUGGUAUUGGCAGCAGUGAAAAAAGGAAUUGAAUAACUAAAGAGGUGCUUUCGCGAAGAUUGAUUGAUAAGCAAUUUUAAUGUGUGUAUUGGGAUUAAUAAAUUAAAGUCUAGGCAUUUGAAGGAAAAAUUAAAUUGCUGGACAGCGUUGCAUCAUUUGUGAAUAGGAAUAAAUAAGAACAUAGGUUCGGUUCAAAACCAAAAGUUUUUUUUUUUUUUCAAAUAACUGCAUAAACGCAAAUCGCAAUUUUUUACCGAUUUGCAAUCCUUGUGUAAGGGUCUUAGUCAAAAAUUGUCUUGCAAUAAAUCAAAAUACUUAAUUAGAAACAAAUUUUGUCUAUAUUAAUAUUUUAGCGUUACUAGCAGUGUUGCCAGGUUAUGAAAAAUAUCAGGAUAGUUAUAAAAAGUUGGGGAUAUAGCAAAAAUGUACCGACAGCUUCUUAUGAUUUUUUAUUAGAUAUUUACUUGUCUAAAAAAGGAGAAAUUAAUAUCUUGGUGGAAUAAUUUCUGUUAGCGGGAAAUUACUGGCAACACUAAAUACUAGGCUUGUGUGGAACUAGUGAAAUAUAAGGCCUAAAAGUGUUCAUAUUUAUGGACAUUAUAUUAAACCCCUUUUUUGCUGUAUUUUAAUAAUGUAGACUGAAAAUGUGGAUUUGUGGAAAAAAAACGUUUAAUAUUUUUUUAAAAGGUGCGAAUAAUUACUUAAACCUAAAUAAAAAUUUGUCAAAAUAAAAUAUGAAACCUUGGAAAGCGUUUAGUGUGAAAAAAAUAGUAAAAUAUGUACCUCUAUAUCUUUGUGCAAAUAUUAACGCAACUUCCUUCAAAAUUACUUCAGACAGUGUUGUAAGCUUAACUUGACACUUAUCGUACAUUAUUCUGAAACAAUACAAAAUUCAAUGUCUUUGUUAAUCCUGUAAAUAUGAAGAAAAGCAGUAACAACGUUGCACAGCGCUUUAAGCCGCAAAUAAUCCAGUUUGAACCGGUUUGUAUAACGGUUGAGCCGCGCCUCAAGCUAGAUUAUUACAUAAAUCAACUAUUUUGAAUUUUGAAAACGUAUCAAUAAGUACAUAAUGAUCAAUGCACUUAGAAUAGAAAAUAAAGAAGAUCAUAGGAAAUCUAAAGCUUUAUUUCACUUGAUAAAAUUCACUAACUAAUUUAGUAAAGUAAAACAGCAUAGAGUGUUAAAGCGGAAGAGAAGUGUCUUCUGACUGACUAAAUAUUAAUUAUAAAGCGGUUUAGUACCUCUAACUCAAAAUAAAUCAUAUAUGAAAACUUGGCUGCAAAACAACACUUUUUGAACGCCAAAAUUUACAAAAGUCAGCCCCAAACGCCCACCCUUCACCACUUUCUGUGUUUUUACUGGUAAGAAGUAAAAUUUGUCAAAUGAUAUAAGGCUUUAAAAAGCGUCGAUAUUACCGCUUUUGCUCAGAAAACCUAAAUGCUUGAGUAUUCCAACAUAAUUGUGAGAUUUUAAAGUAGUUAUGUGAUUUUAUUCACAAAGUGCUCGUCAAAUAAGUUUGCCGUUACGAAGUCGGCUGAUGCUGACUUCACUGCGCAUGUGUGAGGCGUCAAACUUAGGGGCAAAGUUAUUUGAUGAGAAUAUAUCAUAUCGAUUAUGAGAAAAAAAAAAAUACGCUUAUACUUGUAAGUUUCUUACGGAAGUGACUUCCGUAAGUUGUACCUAAGCAGUUGUGAAAAAAAAUAUAAUAAGCGACUUACGGAGUUAUUUUACAUUUGUAAAUUGAUCGUAAGUCAUUUACGUUAGCCACUUACAAGUGUAAGGCGGUUUCAUAAAAAAGUCACGGUUUAUGAAUGUAUGUAGAUUUUGUACAGAAUAAAGUUUAAUUAAGUUCACAUUAAAUUAGUCAGCUUAGAUUUUGACUGACAUUACUGAAUAGGCAAAUAAAAUAAAUAUUUUUUCAUGUACAGUAUAAAAUAAGUAACGUGCCUACUUAAUUUAUGUUUUUAUUUUCUUAUCUAACGGCAAGAGCCCGCAUACUGUGUAAAAAAUAAAUUUUAUUAAAAACUAAAUUAGAAUCGAUUUUCACUUGACGUGAAUUUUAUUUGUUAAUUUAAAUACACAGUCACGCCUGCUAGUCUUCUUAAUAUGCUCAUUGCAAAAAUAAAUAUUUAUUAUUGAAUUAUUUUUCUACAAAAAUUACCAAACUUUACCGCUUUAACUUUCAAAACUGUCAAUGUCAUGCAGUACAAAAUGGCGCGUGAAUAAAAAUUGGCAAGUCACCAUGAAGGUUCGAUAGCUAAGGCAAUGACUAUAAGAAGGCAAUAUACCAGAUUUCUGUACAACAUUUUCUGUCUGCCAUAACAUUUUACUAUUUUCUGUAUUUCUGUAAAAACCAAAGAGAACUUUUUCAAUCUGUUUUAAAAGCGUGUUCAAUUUUGCGGAUAUUUUAUGUAACAUUUUAAAUUAUAUAGCAAUAAAUCAGUUACAAAUACACAAAAACUUUUUUUAAAUGAAAAUAGGUAGGCUUUCGCUGGUUUCUUUUUGCAAUGCUUGAAAAUCCAUCCCCUCAGAAACCGGUUAGUACCAAUCUUUUUCAAACCCCCAAGUCUUUUUUUGGUAAUACAUAAGUUUCUGGUUCUUUAAUUCGACAAUUUUUAUGUUUCAACAAAUGUGAAUAACCGCAUAAUUCUGAUCACACUUUUAAACGCGCUAGUCUUUCGGGCUGAUCGUAUAAAAGACGUAGUUUAUACCUUUUUUUGUAUCUUAUAAGUCGAAACAACGAUUAGGAAGUGUUUUUCUUAAAUUAUUGUAAUAAUAAUUACCUUAGGGGAGGUUCAUAUCUGGCUGAAAAGCGUAUAGUAAAUGUAUGAUCGACGCAGUAACACAACAUCGGUUAGGAGUGAAUGAGUGAAUGUUUUAUCUUAUAUUUGUCUGUUUUUGCGUUACGCGACGUUUCUGUCAGAUAUAAAUAUUCCCUUAAAAUUAGACCUGCGUUAUUUUACAUAGAAUUAAGUGUAAAGAUUUCAUUUUUAGAUUUAAAGCGAACUUUACCCUUUAUUGUACAUUGCUUUUUAAAAUAAUUUUUAAGUUAAAAAUAUACGAGAAAUGUGUAUUAGUAGUAAGGAGGCUCAAUAUUUGAAAUGGAUAUAUUAAAUUAAAAUUACUGACUGAAUGUGAAAAAUGUAAGCUUCGGAAGAGUCCGACAUUUUCUUACUUUCAAUUUGUUUUGUAUUCAUUUCAAAUAAUUGAAUUUCUUGAUUUUAAACCCCUGAAAAUGUUAAAUAACUGAUUAUAAAAUCAGAAACGAUUGUCGGCACUCGUAGACAACUAUAGAGCGUCCGCAAAAAGCGUACUUUGAAAUAAUAAUUUUCACCCGAAAUUAUUAUUAAUUUGUAAAUAUUGAACAUAAAAUAUAAACUAAUUAAAGCAUUUUUUAAUAUGUAAACAUAAUUUGAGAGAUUACCACAGUAUUUUGUGUAAAAUUUUUAUUUUAUUUUUUUAGUUUUAACAAAAUAGCCAUAACCAUCUUUUUUAAUGUUAAUUUUUGUCAAUUAAAAGUGACUAAAUUAUUGUUAAAUUUUUUUGAGAUAUAAAGGAAAUACACUUUGUAA
Molecule: unclassified non-coding RNA, 9594 nt
Filed under: Helicoverpa zea (corn earworm)
Lineage: Eukaryota; Metazoa; Arthropoda; Insecta; Lepidoptera; Noctuidae
Description: serine/threonine-protein kinase 10, transcript variant X4
Source: RNAcentral